Molecule: ribosomal RNA, 372 nt
Filed under: uncultured organism
Description: bacterial SSU rRNA
Rfam family: Bacterial small subunit ribosomal RNA
Source: RNAcentral
CGUAGGGGGCAAGCGUUGUCCGGAAUCAUUGGGCGUAAAGCGCGUGUAGGCGGUUCUAUAAGUCUGCUGUGAAAGUCGGAGGCUCAACCUUCGAAAGCCGGUGGAUACUGUGGAACUAGAGUGCGGAAGAGGCAAGUGGAAUUCCUGGUGUAGCGGUGAAAUGCGCAGAUAUCAGGAGGAACACCAACGGCGAAGGCAGCUUGCUGGGACGUUACUGACGCUGAGACGCGAAAGCGUGAGGAGCAAACAGGAUUAGAUACCCUGGUAGUCCACGCCGUAAACGAUGGUCACUAGAUGUGGGGGGUAUCGACUCCCCCCGUGUCGUAGCUAACGCGUUAAGUGACCCGCCUGGGGAGUACGAGCGCAAGCUUA